UACGGAGGGUGCAAGCGUUGUUCGGAUUGAUUGGGCGUAAAGCGCUCGUAGGCGGGUUCAUAAGUCGAAUGUGAAAGCCCCGGGCUUAACCUGGGAAUUGCAUCCGAAACUGUGAAUCUUGAAUGCUCGAGGGGUUGGUGGAAUUCUUGGUGUAGGAGUGAAAUCCGUAGAUAUCAAGAGGAAUAUCGGAGGCGAAGGCGGCCGACUGGCGAUGCAUUGACGCUGAGGAGACGAAAGCGUGGGGAGCAAACAGG
This 254-nucleotide ribosomal RNA is filed under the name uncultured bacterium. RNAcentral describes it as "partial 16S ribosomal RNA". It matches the Rfam family "Bacterial small subunit ribosomal RNA", at positions 524 to 776 of the family's 1533-position model. The record is from RNAcentral.